Picea glauca (white spruce) is the source of this 47-nucleotide non-coding RNA. The record is from Rfam. Lineage: Eukaryota; Viridiplantae; Streptophyta; Pinopsida; Pinales; Pinaceae.
GUAACGGUGUCUUUAGACACCACCUCUUUGUUUAUGAUUGGAGCUAU